CUCUAUUGUAGUUGGUAAGUUGGGAAAGUAGGUUACAUAAAGUUAUUCGAUUUUUGUCUGUACUCAACGAUAAAUCAAUCUUAACAAAAUCUGAUUCUGAGCGAAGUUCGUUUAAAUACGUUAAACACGAUGUUUACAAUUUUUCGCAAAUUUUAACUUGAUAUAAAAAAAGACGUCCUAGGAUAAUGGGAAAGGAAGCAGCCACUGUUAUAGGAAAUUUAAUGUAUACUUGUAUAAGCAAC
Non-coding RNA from Cinara cedri, 242 nucleotides. The record is from the annotation of a GenBank genome assembly. Lineage: Eukaryota; Metazoa; Arthropoda; Insecta; Hemiptera; Aphididae.